Molecule: long non-coding RNA, 522 nt
Filed under: Dermacentor andersoni
Lineage: Eukaryota; Metazoa; Arthropoda; Arachnida; Ixodida; Ixodidae
Description: uncharacterized LOC126531362
Source: RNAcentral
CAGUACUUUGUAAUCACUCCUGCUUUCAAUGGUUACAUACAGUCAGUGCACUACAACAAAGCUAUUGGCAAUGAACCGUUCAGCUAUGAUGGCUUCAACUGUGGCUUCAAUCAGUUCAGCUUCCCUUGACACCAUGCAUGACAGAUGCCCUGGAGUUGGUGCCUCACUUAGAAUAUAUGUAGGUCGUGCUUAAAACAUACCCGAUGAUGGCUUCCCAAAGUCUGCUUGUCCUGGACCUGGAUAUGGAGGCGGUGCAGCUGGAAACUGGUCGUGUGGCGCAAAUCCAAUGUAGGGUUGCUAAUGUUGAAUUCCGGGUUGCGGCACGGGCGUUGGCACAAAUCCAGAAUUUUGAAUUCCGGGUUGCGGCACGGGCGUUGGCAUAAAUCCAGGAUUCGUUGGGUACGAUAGGCCGGAAGGCGCACUCGGAUUUGCUGGUUGCAUUAUGGGCGUAUAGGGAAGCUGGACUAUAGGUUGAAGAAACAGUGGCGGCUGUUGAGAAGGGUACGGGCCGCUUGACAUGGU